GGAUUGCCUUAGUAACGGCGAGUGAAGCGGCAAAAGCUCAAAUUUGAAAUCUGGUACCUUCGGUGCCCGAGUUGUAAUUUGGAGAGGGCAACUUUGGGGCCGUUCCUUGUCUAUGUUCCUUGGAACAGGACGUCAUAGAGGGUGAGAAUCCCGUGUGGCGAGGAGUGCGGUUCUUUGUAAAGUGCCUUCGAAGAGUCGAGUUGUUUGGGAAUGCAGCUCUAAGUGGGUGGUAAAUUCCAUCUAAAGCUAAAUAUUGGCGAGAGACCGAUAGCGAACAAGUACAGUGAUGGAAAGAUGAAAAGAACUUUGAAAAGAGAGUGAAAAAGUACGUGAAAUUGUUGAAAGGGAAGGGCAUUUGAUCAGACAUGGUGUUUUGUGCCCUCUGCUCCUUGUGGGUAGGGGAAUCUCGCAUUUCACUGGGCCAGCAUCAGUUUUGGUGGCAGGAUAAAUCCAUAGGAAUGUAGCUUGCCUCGGUAAGUAUUAUAGCCUGUGGGAAUACUGCCAGCUGGGACUGAGGACUGCGACGUAAGUCAAGGAUGCUGGCAUAAUGGUUAUAUGCCGCCCGUCUUGAAACACGGACCUCCUGUGUGAAGUG
RNAcentral lists this ribosomal RNA (595 nucleotides) under Saccharomyces cerevisiae (brewer's yeast). Its description in RNAcentral is "eukaryotic LSU rRNA". It matches the Rfam family "Eukaryotic large subunit ribosomal RNA", at positions 72 to 664 of the family's 3401-position model. The record is from RNAcentral. Lineage: Eukaryota; Fungi; Ascomycota; Saccharomycetes; Saccharomycetales; Saccharomycetaceae.